This 248-nucleotide ribosomal RNA is filed under the name uncultured Lachnospiraceae bacterium. RNAcentral describes it as "partial 16S ribosomal RNA". It matches the Rfam family "Bacterial small subunit ribosomal RNA", at positions 524 to 771 of the family's 1533-position model. Lineage: Bacteria; Bacillati; Bacillota; Clostridia; Lachnospirales; Lachnospiraceae. The record is from RNAcentral.
UACGUAGGGGGCAAGCGUUAUCCGGAUUUACUGGGUGUAAAGGGAGCGUAGACGGCAGUGCAAGUCUGGAGUGAAAGGCGGGGGCUCAACCCCCGGACUGCUCUGGAAACUGUACGGCUGGAGUGCAGGAGAGGUAAGUGGAAUUCCUAGUGUAGCGGUGAAAUGCGUAGAUAUUAGGAGGAACACCAGCGGCGAAGGCGGCUUACUGGACUGUAACUGACGUUGAGGCUCGAAAGCGUGGGGAGCAA